CGUAGGUGGCAAGCGAUACUCGGAAUCACUAGGCGUAAAGCGCAGGUAGGAGGUUUGGAUAAGUCUCUUGUGAAAGCUCCCGGCUUAACUGGGAGAGGUCAAGGGAAACUAUUCGGCUAGAGUGUGGUAGAGGAAGAUGGAAUUCCCGGUGUAGCGGUGAAAUGCGUAGAUAUCGGGAGGAAUACCUAUGGCGAAAGCAGUCUUCUGGACCAUCACUGACUCUGAUCUGCGAAAAGCUAGGGGAGCAAACAGGAUUAGAUACCCUGGUAGUCCUAGCCCUAAACGAUGCUCAUUAGGUGUGGGAGGUAUCGACCCCUUCCGCGCCGUAGCUAACGCAUUAAAUGAGCCGCCUGGGGAGUACGGCCGCAAGGUUG
This 374-nucleotide ribosomal RNA is filed under the name uncultured organism. RNAcentral's name for it is "bacterial SSU rRNA". It matches the Rfam family "Bacterial small subunit ribosomal RNA", at positions 526 to 896 of the family's 1533-position model. The record is from RNAcentral.